This is a non-coding RNA of Gasterosteus aculeatus aculeatus (three-spined stickleback), 1837 nucleotides long. Lineage: Eukaryota; Metazoa; Chordata; Actinopteri; Perciformes; Gasterosteidae. The record is from RefSeq and is a predicted model, not a curated record.
CCAGAAGGUGAGGACGACCACGUCGCUGGAGCUCGGAGCUGGAGUCCUUAACAAACACCGACGACCGCAUGUUGUGGAUGUGACAGCGAGGAAGGGGAAGACAUUUCACAGAGGUGCGUUUAAAAUGGUCAAAAGAAGAAAUAAGAAAGGUUAUGUGAAUCACGUGGUGGGAUUUUCCCCAAAUCCUAUUGUGAAUCAGACAAUGGUCGGCCUGUCUCUGGGUGGUAACAGCAACAAGGUUAGAGAGAAUAUUGGACCCGGUUCAGAGCACUGAAACCUUGAACCAAAAGACAAAGAGAAGCUCCAGAAACACACACACACACACACAAGCAGACUGAAAGAAUAGACGCACAAACACGAAGGCCCAGCGGUCUGCAUACAGAACAGGACCGGACACGGGUCUGACAGUGCAGGGGAUUCAGGCCCGAUCAACAGGAUAUGAUCCAAGAUCCUUUUCAACCGGGCUUCAGCAACCUCCGGAGGCGGCACCGAUUUUAUGUCCGGGAGCAUUUUUUUCUUAUCUUUACUGCCAAUAACAAGCAAAUUGAAUUCAUUCCAGAUGCUCCUCUUGAGGCGUUGAAGGCAAAGGCGACCUCUGCCUUUAAAUGUUGCCCGGCCGUGUUUAUAUUCAGAGGAAGGCAAAGAGAAAGCUGCUACUCUGUCCACAUAUUAAAAAAAAAAAACUACGGUUGGAUCAAAUAAAAGUCAACGCGCAGCAGCACCGCCUCGGUCCGCUCUAAAUCAGAGGCUUUUGAUGACAUCACAUUUCGCCUCAUACGACACAACGCCAUUAGUGACGACUGCAUGCAAACCAACGGGCCCAUUUCAGCCCGGAGUACGGGACGAAUAAAAGCUUUUCAUUCAUUUAAUCCCAUAAUAAAAGCUGUGUCACACCGCCCACUGCAACAAUCGGCUUCCAGACCCUCACGGUGGGAUCGUGCACGAUGUUGUGUGUGUGUGUGUGUGUGUGUGUUACAACAGCGCCUUGCUGAUUUAUUCCCCCUCUCCUUGGGCACAAAGUCUGUUGUUGUCCACCCACCCACCAGCACACGGUGCACGAGGAAACAACCGUUUGCUGCGGCUUUUGCGGUUGGAUAAUUGUUUUUAGGCAUAACAUCAUUCUGCUUGCAAAAGACGGCGAAGCCAUAACCACGAGUCAAGGAGAGGGGUGCUGGAGGUACGGAGGGGAAGGACACUCGGGAUAGUGUGGAAACAGCAUGAGGCGCUCCCUCCCUCCCUCUCUAGACCCGCAGCGAGUCGCCACCGUUUUUACUUUCCAUGGUCAUUCAGCCGAUCCUAAAGAAAAAACAAAAACAGGUCUGAAGGAGAAACAAGCCCACCAAUGGGAGAGGGAGAUUGGAUACGUUUGCUGCUGCCUCACUUUCCAUAACCUUUAAUUCUCCCUCCACGCGCUUCCCACGGAAAGCCAGUCAGCCUCGUGGACGGCGGCGGCGGCGGCGCUCUCUCGUGGGGAGGCGCCGGGCGGUGUAACGUGUGGCUAUCGAUCGGCAGGGAACAGGAGAAGGCGCCCGGCUGCUCUGCAACCAAAGGAACAUCAGAUCCAUAUUGAAGUGGUGGAGGGAUGACUUUGCGUACAAACACUGUGAGGUGACUGAAGCUCAAGACCCGACUCGCUCAAUGCUGAUUUCGGUAUUUUGUUACAUAAACCACAUCAGAGCGGGACAGAAUGACCUCAAAAUCAACCUUUUCUCAUUUUGAUGAAUCGGAAAAUUGCUUCUCGGUUGAUUGUUUGGUCCAUAAAAUGUCAGAAAAUUGUCACAAUAUGAUGGAAACACAACGCUGUGUCUUCAGUCAAAUAAAGUGCCAAGCUCAAUCA